UUCGACCAUUAGGGGAAUCCUUUUAAAGGACUGAGAAACGAGUUCCACUCCGCUACCCUUAUCACCUGAACAGGUUUGUACCUGCGUAGGGAAGUGGCGUGUCUUCCUA
This 109-nucleotide non-coding RNA is filed under the name Sporosarcina psychrophila. RNAcentral describes it as "TPP sequence". It matches the Rfam family "TPP riboswitch aptamer (THI element)". Rfam says of the family: Vitamin B(1) in its active form thiamin pyrophosphate (TPP) is an essential coenzyme that is synthesised by coupling of pyrimidine and thiazole moieties in bacteria. The previously detected thiamin-regulatory element, thi box was extended, resulting in a new, highly conserved RNA secondary structure, the THI element, which is widely distributed in eubacteria and also occurs in some archaea. The record is from RNAcentral. Lineage: Bacteria; Bacillati; Bacillota; Bacilli; Caryophanales; Caryophanaceae.